This 415-nucleotide long non-coding RNA is filed under the name Linum usitatissimum (flax). RNAcentral describes it as "long non-coding RNA (LUSI_LNC001490)". The record is from RNAcentral. Lineage: Eukaryota; Viridiplantae; Streptophyta; Magnoliopsida; Malpighiales; Linaceae.
UCCCCUUAAGUUAGGUUUUUGAUGGUACAAGUAACCACUAAGUAGGCUACAAUAUUUGGAAUUUUUCAUGGAUCAUGUUUAAUUGUCCCCCUUAAUUGUGGGUGAAGUGUCUCAAUUUUUCUCAAUACUUGCAAGAAAAAAACAUAUUUGAUGUGACAUUUAAUUAAUUAUAACCAAAGUUUCCAUCGUUGGAUUAAUUGGCCAUUAAUUAUGAUGAGUUAAUGUAUAGGUUUAAUGCCAACAUUUGAUGCAAUGCAUGUGUUUGUUGUGCUUUAGGGUGCAUAUAUGGUCAAACAUUACCAUUAAAUAAAAAAUCUAAAUUGUUAAAAUUUACGUAUUUUCGAUCAUGUUUUAUAGGUUCAACUUUGGUCAUCGGAACGUUAAAAAUUUCUUGAUUGAAUGAUAGAUGACUCAC